This 523-nucleotide ribosomal RNA is filed under the name uncultured Flavobacteriia bacterium. Its description in RNAcentral is "bacterial SSU rRNA". It matches the Rfam family "Bacterial small subunit ribosomal RNA", at positions 9 to 525 of the family's 1533-position model. Lineage: Bacteria; Pseudomonadati; Bacteroidota; Flavobacteriia. The record is from RNAcentral.
GAGUUUGAUCCUGGCUCAGGAUGAACGCUAGCGGCAGGCCUAACACAUGCAAGUCGAACGGUAACAGGAAAUAGCUUGCUAUUUUGCUGACGAGUGGCGCACGGGUGCGUAACGCGUAUACAAUCUACCUUUUGCUGAGGGAUAGCCCAGAGAAAUUUGGAUUAAUACCUCAUGGUAUUAUUGAUAGGCAUCUAUUAAUAAUUAAAGGUUACGGCAAAAGAUGAGUAUGCGUCCCAUUAGCUAGUUGGUGAAGUAACGGUUCACCAAGGCAACGAUGGGUAGGGGUCCUGAGAGGGAGAUCCCCCACACUGGUACUGAGACACGGACCAGACUCCUACGGGAGGCAGCAGUGAGGAAUAUUGGACAAUGGGCGAGAGCCUGAUCCAGCCAUGCCGCGUGCAGGAAGACUGCCCUAUGGGUUGUAAACUGCUUUUAUACAGGAAGAAUAAGCCUUACGUGUAAGGUGAUGACGGUACUGUAAGAAUAAGGACCGGCUAACUCCGUGCCAGCAGCCGAAGGGCGA